RNAcentral lists this ribosomal RNA (154 nucleotides) under uncultured eukaryote. RNAcentral's name for it is "partial small subunit ribosomal RNA". The record is from RNAcentral.
GUCGCUCCUACCGAUUGGAUGGUCCGGUGAAAUCUUUGGAUUGCUGUGAAAAACUGGGAAACCAGUGUCAURGUGAGAAGUUGAUUAAAUCUUAUCAUCUAGAGGAAGGAGAAGUCGUAACAAGGUUUCCGUAGGUGAACCUGCAGAAGGAUCA